CGCGAAACCUUUACACUGCACGACAGUGCGAUAGGGGAACUCCGAGUGCGAGGGCAUAGAGCCCUCGCUUUUCUGCACCGUAAGGUGGUGCGGGAACAAGUGCUGGGCAAGACCGGUGCCAGCCGCCGCGGUAAUACCGGCAGCACGAGUGAUGGCCGAUCUUAUUGGGUCUAAAGCGUCCGUAGCUGGCCGUGCAAGUCCGUCGGGAAAUCCAGUGGCUCAACCUCUGGGCUUCCGGCGGAAACUGCUCGGCUUGGGACCGGAAGACUCGAGGGGUACGUUCGGGGUAGGAGUGAAAUCCCGUAAUCCUGAACGGACCACCGAUGGCGAAAGCACCUCGAGAGCACGGAUCCGACAGUGAGGGACGAAAGCUAGGGUCUCGAACCGGAUUAGAUACCCGGGUAGUCCUAGCUGUUAACGAUGCCCGCUCGGUUCGGCGCAGGCUACGAGCCUGUGCCGCGCCUCAGUGAAGACGUAAGCGGGCCGCCUGGGAAGUACGUCCGCAAGGAUGAAACUUAAAGGAAUUGGCGGGGGAGCACUACAACCGGAGGAGCCUGCGGUUUAAUUG
This 568-nucleotide ribosomal RNA is filed under the name haloarchaeon enrichment culture clone B1A-C35. RNAcentral's name for it is "bacterial SSU rRNA". It matches the Rfam family "Archaeal small subunit ribosomal RNA", at positions 340 to 908 of the family's 1478-position model. Lineage: Archaea; Methanobacteriati; Methanobacteriota; Halobacteria; Halobacteriales. The record is from RNAcentral.